GGUUAAGCGACUAAGCGUACACGGUGGAUGCCCUGGCAGUCAGAGGCGAUGAAGGACGUGCUAAUCUGCGAUAAGCGUCGGUAAGGUGAUAUGAACCGUUAUAACCGGCGAUUUCCGAAUGGGGAAACCCAGUGUGAUUCGUCACACUAUCAUUAACUGAAUCCAUAGGUUAAUGAGGCGAACCGGGGGAACUGAAACAUCUAAGUACCCCGAGGAAAAGAAAUCAACCGAGAUUCCCCCAGUAGCGGCGAGCGAACGGGGAGGAGCCCAGAGCCUGAAUCAGUGUGUGUGUUAGUGGAAGCGUCUGGAAAGGCGCGCGAUACAGGGUGACAGCCCCGUACACAAAAAUGCACAUGCUGUGAGCUCGAUGAGUAGGGCGGGACACGUGGUAUCCUGUCUGAAUAUGGGGGGACCAUCCUCCAAGGCUAAAUACUCCUGACUGACCGAUAGUGAACCAGUACCGUGAGGGAAAGGCGAAAAGAACCCCGGCGAGGGGAGUGAAAAAGAACCUGAAACCGUGUACGUACAAGCAGUGGGAGCCUCUUUUAUGGGGUGACUGCGUACCUUUUGUAUAAUGGGUCAGCGACUUAUAUUCUGUAGCAAGGUUAACCGAAUAGGGGAGCCGAAGGGAAACCGAGUCUUAACUGGGCGUUAAGUUGCAGGGUAUAGACCCGAAACCCGGUGAUCUAGCCAUGGGCAGGUUGAAGGUUGGGUAACACUAACUGGAGGACCGAACCGACUAAUGUUGAAAAAUUAGCGGAUGACUUGUGGCUGGGGGUGAAAGGCCAAUCAAACCGGGAGAUAGCUGGUUCUCCCCGAAAGCUAUUUAGGUAGCGCCUCGUGAACUCAUCUCCGGGGGUAGAGCACUGUUUCGGCAAGGGGGUCAUCCCGACUUACCAACCCGAUGCAAACUGCGAAUACCGGAGAAUGUUAUCACGGGAGACACACGGCGGGUGCUAACGUCCGUCGUGAAGAGGGAAACAACCCAGACCGCCAGCUAAGGUCCCAAAGUCAUGGUUAAGUGGGAAACGAUGUGGGAAGGCCCAGACAGCCAGGAUGUUGGCUUAGAAGCAGCCAUCAUUUAAAGAAAGCGUAAUAGCUCACUGGUCGAGUCGGCCUGCGCGGAAGAUGUAACGGGGCUAAACCAUGCACCGAAGCUGCGGCAGCGACACUAUGUGUUGUUGGGUAGGGGAGCGUUCUGUAAGCCUGUGAAGGUGUGCUGUGAGGCAUGCUGGAGGUAUCAGAAGUGCGAAUGCUGACAUAAGUAACGAUAAAGCGGGUGAAAAGCCCGCUCGCCGGAAGACCAAGGGUUCCUGUCCAACGUUAAUCGGGGCAGGGUGAGUCGACCCCUAAGGCGAGGCCGAAAGGCGUAGUCGAUGGGAAACAGGUUAAUAUUCCUGUACUUGGUGUUACUGCGAAGGGGGGACGGAGAAGGCUAUGUUGGCCGGGCGACGGUUGUCCCGGUUUAAGCGUGUAGGCUGGUUUUCCAGGCAAAUCCGGAAAAUCAAGGCUGAGGCGUGAUGACGAGGCACUACGGUGCUGAAGCAACAAAUGCCCUGCUUCCAGGAAAAGCCUCUAAGCAUCAGGUAACAUCAAAUCGUACCCCAAACCGACACAGGUGGUCAGGUAGAGAAUACCAAGGCGCUUGAGAGAACUCGGGUGAAGGAACUAGGCAAAAUGGUGCCGUAACUUCGGGAGAAGGCACGCUGAUAUGUAGGUGAAGUCCCUCGCGGAUGGAGCUGAAAUCAGUCGAAGAUACCAGCUGGCUGCAACUGUUUAUUAAAAACACAGCACUGUGCAAACACGAAAGUGGACGUAUACGGUGUGACGCCUGCCCGGUGCCGGAAGGUUAAUUGAUGGGGUCAGCGCAAGCGAAGCUCUUGAUCGAAGCCCCGGUAAACGGCGGCCGUAACUAUAACGGUCCUAAGGUAGCGAAAUUCCUUGUCGGGUAAGUUCCGACCUGCACGAAUGGCGUAAUGAUGGCCAGGCUGUCUCCACCCGAGACUCAGUGAAAUUGAACUCGCUGUGAAGAUGCAGUGUACCCGCGGCAAGACGGAAAGACCCCGUGAACCUUUACUAUAGCUUGACACUGAACAUUGAGCCUUGAUGUGUAGGAUAGGUGGGAGGCUUAGAAGUGUGGACGCCAGUCUGCAUGGAGCCGACCUUGAAAUACCACCCUUUAAUGUUUGAUGUUCUAACGUUGACCCGUGAUCCGGGUUGCGGACAGUGUCUGGUGGGUAGUUUGACUGGGGCGGUCUCCUCCUAAAGAGUAACGGAGGAGCACGAAGGUUGGCUAAUCCUGGUCGGACAUCAGGAGGUUAGUGCAAUGGCAUAAGCCAGCUUGACUGCGAGCGUGACGGCGCGAGCAGGUGCGAAAGCAGGUCAUAGUGAUCCGGUGGUUCUGAAUGGAAGGGCCAUCGCUCAACGGAUAAAAGGUACUCCGGGGAUAACAGGCUGAUACCGCCCAAGAGUUCAUAUCGACGGCGGUGUUUGGCACCUCGAUGUCGGCUCAUCACAUCCUGGGGCUGAAGUAGGUCCCAAGGGUAUGGCUGUUCGCCAUUUAAAGUGGUACGCGAGCUGGGUUUAGAACGUCGUGAGACAGUUCGGUCCCUAUCUGCCGUGGGCGCUGGAGAACUGAGGGGGGCUGCUCCUAGUACGAGAGGACCGGAGUGGACGCAUCACUGGUGUUCGGGUUGUCAUGCCAAUGGCACUGCCCGGUAGCUAAAUGCGGAAGAGAUAAGUGCUGAAAGCAUCUAAGCACGAAACUUGCCCCGAGAUGAGUUCUCCCUGACCCUUUAAGGGUCCUGAAGGAACGUUGAAGACGACGACGUUGAUAGGCCGGGUGUGUAAGCGCAGCGAUGCGUUGAGCUAACCGGUACUAAUGAACCGUGAGGCUUAACCUU
RNAcentral lists this ribosomal RNA (2903 nucleotides) under Escherichia coli. RNAcentral's name for it is "23S ribosomal RNA". It matches the Rfam family "Bacterial large subunit ribosomal RNA". The record is from RNAcentral. Lineage: Bacteria; Pseudomonadati; Pseudomonadota; Gammaproteobacteria; Enterobacterales; Enterobacteriaceae.